CUGGCUCAGGACGACGCUGGCGGCGUGCCUAAUACAUGCAAGUCGAGCGAGCAGAACCAGCAGAUUUACUUCGGUAAUGACGCUGGGGACGCGAGCGGCGGAUGGGUGAGUAACACGUGGGGAACCUGCCCCAUAGUCUAGGAUACCACUUGGAAACAGGUGCUAAUACCGGAUAAUAAAGCAGAUCGCAUGAUCAGCUUAUAAAAGGCGGCGUAAGCUGUCGCUAUGGGAUGGCCCCGCGGUGCAUUAGCUAGUUGGUAAGGUAACGGCUUACCAAGGCAAUGAUGCAUAGCCGAGUUGAGAGACUGAACGGCCACAUUGGGACUGAGACACGGCCCAAACUCCUACGGGAGGCAGCAGUAGGGAAUCUUCCACAAUGGACGCAAGUCUGAUGGAGCAACGCCGCGUGAGUGAAGAAGGUUUUCGGAUCGUAAAGCUCUGUUGUUGGUGAAGAAGGAUAGAGGUAGUAACUGGCCUUUAUUUGACGGUAAUCAACCAGAAAGUCACGGCUAACUACGUGCCAGCAGCCGCGGUAAUACGUAGGUGGCAAGCGUUGUCCGGAUUUAUUGGGCGUAAAGCGAGCGCAGGCGGAAGAAUAAGUCUGAUGUGAAAGCCCUCGGCUUAACCGAGGAAUUGCAUCGGAAACUGUUUUUCUUGAGUGCAGAAGAGGAGAGUGGAACUCCAUGUGUAGCGGUGGAAUGCGUAGAUAUAUGGAAGAACACCAGUGGCGAAGGCGGCUCUCUGGUCUGCAACUGACGCUGAGGCUCGAAAGCAUGGGUAGCGAACAGGAUUAGAUACCCUGGUAGUCCAUGCCGUAAACGAUGAGUGCUAAGUGUUGGGAGGUUUCCGCCUCUCAGUGCUGCAGCUAACGCAUUAAGCACUCCGCCUGGGGAGUACGACCGCAAGGUUGAAACUCAAAGGAAUUGACGGGGGCCCGCACAAGCGGUGGAGCAUGUGGUUUAAUUCGAAGCAACGCGAAGAACCUUACCAGGUCUUGACAUCUAGUGCCAUCCUAAGAGAUUAGGAGUUCCCUUCGGGGACGCUAAGACAGGUGGUGCAUGGCUGUCGUCAGCUCGUGUCGUGAGAUGUUGGGUUAAGUCCCGCAACGAGCGCAACCCUUAUUAUUAGUUGCCAGCAUUAAGUUGGGCACUCUAAUGAGACUGCCGGUGACAAACCGGAGGAAGGUGGGGAUGACGUCAAGUCAUCAUGCCCCUUAUGACCUGGGCUACACACGUGCUACAAUGGGCAGUACAACGAGAAGCGAGCCUGCGAAGGCAAGCGAAUCUCUGAAAGCUGUUCUCAGUUCGGACUGCAGUCUGCAACUCGACUGCACGAAGCUGGAAUCGCUAGUAAUCGCGGAUCAGAACGCCGCGGUGAAUACGUUCCCGGGCCUUGUACACACCGCCCGUCACACCAUGGAAGUCUGCAAUGCCCAAAGCCGGUGGCCUAACCUUCGGGAAGGAGCCGUCUAAGGCAGGGCAGAUGACUGGGGUGAAGUCG
This 1500-nucleotide ribosomal RNA is filed under the name Lactobacillus helveticus. Its description in RNAcentral is "bacterial SSU rRNA". It matches the Rfam family "Bacterial small subunit ribosomal RNA". The record is from RNAcentral. Lineage: Bacteria; Bacillati; Bacillota; Bacilli; Lactobacillales; Lactobacillaceae.